AGAAUUGACUGCUGGUAUCUCCUGCCACAUUUCUGAUCCCCUGUUAAAAAUUUUUAUGGGCAGCUAGACUGUUAAGCUCCUUGACAACAGGGUAUUGACGGCACAUGCCUUCGUUUCUCAGAAUACGGCCUUGCACAGGCAAGUCAAAACUCAAGUAAUAGAUUUCCCACAAGUAUGUGCAAAAGAUAAACAUUUGAGAGAGAGUUAUUUAUCUCAAAGGGAGUUACUCUGAUGGUCCUCUCUGAGGAACCUGUGAUCUGCCAUCUGCAAGCUGGAGACCCAGGAAAACCAGUGCUGUGAUUCCAGUCUAAGUCCAAGUCCAAAGGCCAGAGCCAACGAUGUGAAUCCCAGUCCAAGGGCAGCAGAGGACUGAUGUCCCAGCUCAAACAGGAAGGCUGGAAGCAAAAUUUGGCAAAUUCACUCUUCGCUGCUUUUUUUGUUCCAUUCAGCCCCUCAACGGAUU
This 463-nucleotide long non-coding RNA is filed under the name Homo sapiens (human). RNAcentral's name for it is "non-protein coding lnc-MAP3K8-18:1". Lineage: Eukaryota; Metazoa; Chordata; Mammalia; Primates; Hominidae. The record is from RNAcentral.